AGUGAACGCUGGCGGUAGGCCUAACACAUGCAAGUCGAACGGCAGCACAGUAAGAGCUUGCUCUUACGGGUGGCGAGUGGCGGACGGGUGAGGAAUACAUCGGAAUCUACUUUUUCGUGGGGGAUAACGUAGGGAAACUUACGCUAAUACCGCAUACGACCUACGGGUGAAAGCAGUGGAUCUUCGGACCUUGCGCGAUUGAAUGAGCCGAUGUCGGAUUAGCUAGUUGGCGGGGUAAAGGCCCACCAAGGCGACGAUCCGUAGCUGGUCUGAGAGGAUGAUCAGCCACACUGGAACUGAGACACGGUCCAGACUCCUACGGGAGGCAGCAGUAGGGAAUAUUGGGCAAUGGGCGCAAGCCUGAUCCAGCCAUACCGCGUGGGUGAAGAAGGCCUUCGGGUUGUAAAGCCCUUUUGUUGGGAAAGAAAAGAAGCAGGUUAAUCCCCCGCUGUUCUGACGGUACCCAAAGAAUAAGCACCGGCUAACUUCGUG
Molecule: ribosomal RNA, 492 nt
Filed under: uncultured bacterium
Lineage: Bacteria
Description: partial 16S ribosomal RNA
Rfam family: Bacterial small subunit ribosomal RNA
Source: RNAcentral